GAUGAACGCUGGCGGCGUGCCUAAUACAUGCAAGUCGAGCGAACGGACGAGAAGCUUGCUUCUCUGAUGUUAGCGGCGGACGGGUGAGUAACACGUGGAUAACCUACCUAUAAGACUGGGAUAACUUCGGGAAACCGGAGCUAAUACCGGAUGAUAUUUUGAACCGCAUGGUUCAAAAGUGAAAGACGGUCUUGCUGUCACUUAUAGAUGGAUCCGCGCUGCAUUAGCUAGUUGGUAAGGUAACGGCUUACCAAGGCAACGAUGCAUAGCCGACCUGAGAGGGUGAUCGGCCACACUGGAACUGAGACACGGUCCAGACUCCUACGGGAGGCAGCAGUAGGGAAUCUUCCGCAAUGGGCGAAAGCCUGACGGAGCAACGCCGCGUGAGUGAUGAAGGUCUGCGGAUCGUAAAACUCUGUUAUUAGGGAAGAACAUAUGUGUAAGUAACUGUGCACAUCUUGACGGUACCUAAGCAGAAAGCCACGGCUAACUACGU
Molecule: ribosomal RNA, 496 nt
Filed under: uncultured bacterium
Lineage: Bacteria
Description: partial 16S ribosomal RNA
Rfam family: Bacterial small subunit ribosomal RNA
Source: RNAcentral